UUCUGAUCACUGCGCGCCCCUAUAUAGACGCGAUUGACAUGUUCCUGAAAUCUCGAACCGGUCGACCAAGAUUUUUUUUACCCCAUCCUCUCCCUAACCUCCCGUACCCCCGGCCUUCUCACCAUCCUUUCCCAAAUCGCCGAGACACCUCACACGUCGCCGGCGCCCCUCCAGCAUGGACGACGCCCCUCCUUGCCUGCGGCCGGCGUGCCACCUCCCCUUCUCCCCAACGGCCAGUGCGCCUUCUUCCGCUCGACAGGGGCACCUCCUCCGCCAUGGCCGGCGAGCCUCCCCCGCCGCCACCCUGGGAUCCAGCCACCGCAGGGCCCCGGAACCCCGUGUAAUGUUCGCCGGGCCCUGGAUCCCCGUGCGCCGCCGCAAGGCCCUGGAUCCCGAGCGUCGCCGCCGCCGGGGUCCUUUCUCGCCUGCUCCAUCACCGCUGGGACCUCGGGCCCCUUGUGCGCCGCCGGGACCCCCACAUGCUGCAGCAGACCGUGCCACCCCAUCACCCGCGCUUCACCUCUUCCCCGAGCUUCCCUGAGUGGCCCUGCCCCUGAGCCACACCUCGCGACUGCGGGGCUCAUGCCACAUCACCUCCCCCAAGUUCGUGCGCCACUACCAAGAAAAGGAAGAGGAGUAAUGACUGACCGGUGGCGAUGCAAUGCGGCGAGCAGAACAAUGUGAUGUAGGGAUGCAUGGGACAGGUUAGUUGGAGCCUGCAGCCUGCAGGCAUGGGUGUCGAGCUGCUAAUACAUUUGGGUGGCUCGUAAUGUACUUGAUCGAAUGUUACUACUGCUACAAACAUGUGUAUUAUUUUUGGUAUCUCGCUUUUACAUUUUUAUGCUAAAAUUUCUACCCGCUUCUUC
Long non-coding RNA from Triticum aestivum (bread wheat), 866 nucleotides. RefSeq lists it as uncharacterized. The record is from RefSeq and is a predicted model, not a curated record. Lineage: Eukaryota; Viridiplantae; Streptophyta; Magnoliopsida; Poales; Poaceae. The transcript is spliced from 2 exons.